UACGGAGGAUCCGAGCGUUAUCCGGAUUUAUUGGGUUUAAAGGGUGCGCAGGCGGGAGAUUAAGUCGGAGGUGAAAUUUUGCAGCUCAACUGUAAAAGUGCCUUCGAAACUGGUUUCCUUGAGUGUAGAUGAAGUAGGCGGAAUUUGUGGUGUAGCGGUGAAAUGCAUAGAUAUCACGAGGAACUCCGAUUGCGCAGGCAGCUUACUAAACUACUACUGACGCUCAGGCACGAAGGCGUGGGGAUCAAACAGGAUUAGAUACCCCGGUAGU
RNAcentral lists this ribosomal RNA (271 nucleotides) under uncultured prokaryote. RNAcentral's name for it is "partial 16S ribosomal RNA". It matches the Rfam family "Bacterial small subunit ribosomal RNA", at positions 524 to 794 of the family's 1533-position model. The record is from RNAcentral.